CGGGGUGUAGUGAAGUGGGAUAAUACCUGGCCUGGAACCAGGAGACGCAGGUUCGAUUCCUGCUACCCCGA
Molecule: transfer RNA, 71 nt
Filed under: Armatimonadota bacterium
Lineage: Bacteria; Bacillati; Armatimonadota
Description: Armatimonadetes bacterium (rhizosphere metagenome) tRNA-Pro
Rfam family: tRNA
About the family: Transfer RNA (tRNA) molecules are approximately 80 nucleotides in length. Their secondary structure includes four short double-helical elements and three loops (D, anti-codon, and T loops). Further hydrogen bonds mediate the characteristic L-shaped molecular structure. tRNAs have two regions of fundamental functional importance: the anti-codon, which is responsible for specific mRNA codon recognition, and the 3' end, to which the tRNAs corresponding amino acid is attached (by aminoacyl-tRNA synthetases). tRNAs cope with the degeneracy of the genetic code in two manners: having more than one tRNA (with a specific anti-codon) for a particular amino acid; and 'wobble' base-pairing, i.e. permitting non-standard base-pairing at the 3rd anti-codon position.
Source: RNAcentral